ACGAACGCUGGCGGCGUGCUUAACACAUGCAAGUCGAACGCGCUUUGUUCCUUCGGGAGCAAAGUGAGUGGCGAACGGGUGAGUAACACGUGAGCAACCUGCCCUUGACUCUGGAAUAACAGCUGGAAACAGCUGCUAGUACCGGAUACGACCUCCGAUGGCAUCAUCUGGAGGUGGAAAGCUCCGACGGUCAAGGAUGGGCUCGCGGCCUAUCAGCUUGNGGUGAGGUAACGGCUCACCAAGGCUUCGACGGGUAGCCGGCCUGAGAGGGCGACCGGCCACACUGGGACUGAGAUACGGCCCAGACUCCUACGGGAGGCAGCAGUGGGGAAGUAUUGCACAAUGGGCGCAAGCCUGAUGCAGCAACGCCGCGUGCGGGAUGACGGCCUCGGUUGUAACG
Molecule: ribosomal RNA, 400 nt
Filed under: uncultured bacterium
Lineage: Bacteria
Description: bacterial SSU rRNA
Rfam family: Bacterial small subunit ribosomal RNA
Source: RNAcentral